This 1217-nucleotide ribosomal RNA is filed under the name uncultured Rhizaria. Its description in RNAcentral is "SSU rRNA". It matches the Rfam family "Eukaryotic small subunit ribosomal RNA", at positions 577 to 1804 of the family's 1831-position model. The record is from RNAcentral.
CGGUAAUUCCUGCUCCAAUAGCGUAUACUAAAGUUGUUGCAGUUAAAAAGCUCGUAGUUGGAUUUCUGCGGGGACGGAGCGGCCGGUCGCAACUUGCGACUCGAGCUAGCGCUUUCCCCGCAUCCUGCCGCGAACCGUGCUACCAUUAGUUUGGUGGCGCCGGGGAUCGGCUCGAUUACUUUGAGAAAAAUAGAGUGUUCAAAGCAGGCCACACGCCUUGAAUAAGUUAGCAUGGAAUAAUGACUAAGGACUUUGGUUCUUUUCGUUGGUGUUCGGGACUGAAGUAAUGAUUGAUAGGGACAGUUGGGGCGGUCCGUAUUCCAAAGCGAGAGGUGAAAUUCUUAGACCUUCAGAAGACGAACAGCUGCGAAAGCGUUCCGCAAGGAUGUUCCCUUUGAUCAAGAACGAAAGUUGGGGGAUCGAAGACGAUCAGAUACCGUCGUAGUCUCAACUAUAAACUAUACCAGCUAGGGAUCGGCCAACGUUUAAUUUAUCGACUUGGUCGGCACCUUAUGAGAAAUCAAAGCAUCUGGGUUCCGGGGGGAGUAUGGUCGCAAGGCUGAAACUUAAAGGAAUUGACGGAAGGGCACCACCAGCCGUGGAGCCUGUGGCUUAAUUUGACUCAACACGGGAAAACUUACCAGGUCCAGACAUAGGAAGGAUUGACAGAUUGAUAGCUCUUUCUUGAUUCUGUGGGUGGUGGUGCAUGGCCGUUUUUAGUCGGUGGAUGUGAUCUGUCUGCUUAAUUGCGUUAACGGACGAGACCCCAGCCUGCUAAAUAGCGCGGCCGAGCUUUGCUCGGUGCGAGCUUCUUAGAGGGACCAUGAUGCGCGAUAGCACAAGGAAGUUUGGGGCAACAACAGGUCUGUGAUGCCCUUAGAUGUUCUGGGCCGCACACGGGCUACACUGGCGCCUGCAACGAGCAUAUCAGCUGGCCCGAGAGGGUCUUGGCUAAUCUUUGGAACCGGCGCCGUGCUUGGGAUUGACCAUUGCAAUUGUUGGUCAUGCAACGAGGAAUGCCUUGUAAACGCGAGUCAUCAGCUCGCAUUGAAUACGUCCCUGCCCUUUGUACACACCGCCCGUCGCUCCUACCGAUGAAUGUUCCGAUGAAGUUUUCGGAGAGCACCAGAGAACGGGGCUCCGCCUUGCAGAUCUGGAGGCUCAAAGUCACUUAAAUCUGAACAUUUCGAGGAAGGAGAAGUCGUAACAAGGUAACC